UACGUAGGGCGCAAGCGUUGUCCGGAAUUAUUGGGCGUAAAGAGCUCGUAGGCGGCUUGUCACGUCGGAUGUGAAAGCCCGGGGCUUAACCCCGGGUCUGCAUUCGAUACGGGCUAGCUAGAGUGUGGUAGGGGAGAUCGGAAUUCCUGGUGUAGCGGUGAAAUGCGCAGAUAUCAGGAGGAACACCGGUGGCGAAGGCGGAUCUCUGGGCCUUACCUGACGCUGAGGAGCGAAAGCAUGGGGAGCAAACAGG
This 253-nucleotide ribosomal RNA is filed under the name uncultured bacterium. RNAcentral's name for it is "partial 16S ribosomal RNA". It matches the Rfam family "Bacterial small subunit ribosomal RNA", at positions 524 to 776 of the family's 1533-position model. The record is from RNAcentral.